UGGGGAAUCUUGCACAAUGGGGGCAACCCUGAUGCAGCGACGCCGCGUGAGCGAUGAAGCCCUUCGGGGCGUAAAGCUCUUUCGACCGGAACGAUAAUGACGGUACCGGGAGAAGAAGCUGCGGCUAACUACGUGCCAGCAGCCGCGGUAAUACGUAGGCAGCAAGCGUUGUUCGGAGUUACUGGGCGUAAAGAGUGCGUAGGCGGUUUUCUAAGUUCGGUGUGAAAUCUCCCGGCUUAACUGGGAGGGUGCGCCGAAGACUGGGAAGCUGGAGUGGGGGAAAGGCAGGCGGAAUUCCUGGUGUAGCGGUGAAAUGCGUAGAUAUCAGGAGGAACACCGGCGGUGUAGACGGCUUGCUAGACCAUAACUGACGCUGAGGCACGAAAGCGUGGGUAGCAAACA
RNAcentral lists this ribosomal RNA (402 nucleotides) under uncultured bacterium. RNAcentral's name for it is "bacterial SSU rRNA". It matches the Rfam family "Bacterial small subunit ribosomal RNA", at positions 355 to 774 of the family's 1533-position model. The record is from RNAcentral.